AUUUUAUCUUUUCAUUUGAAUUCUAGGUAUGAAAAAGAAUGAAUAUUUCUUUGCACCAUUUAAUCACAUUUAAAGGAUAAAAGAUAAUAAGCUGUUUAAAAACAAACAGAAAAAUAUUAACUACGUCUAUACGUUUAAAUCUGUUUAAGAUUUGAUUGUACAUUUUGGCCUUAACCUAAGCUUUGAAGAUGCAUAAGCGGAUGUGUCGGAUUAUCUUGUGAAACAAUUAUCAUGCAUUUAUACAAUAUGUGGAGUAGAGAUAUAGUUAUGUCCCAUCCUGUGAAGUAAAUGAGCAGGUCUGUGUAUUCUGCAGCAAUAUUUAAACCCUGAUGUUUCAUAAAAUUUAGAAAUAGUUUAUAAAUUGUCCUAUUCGUUAAUAGGUAUAACAGAUAUGAGAUGCAAUUAUUCUCCCAUUCUAGAAAUUUGAUCGGUAUUGAAUUCACCUUCUCCUUUCGUCCAACAAUUAUUUCUCAGGUCUUAUAUAACAGAAUGACUAGUUUUGUUAGCAGCUUGACAGUGAUAAGUUAUGACUUUUGAGAUAUCAGUUAUAUGCUUCCAGUUUGCCAAUACUUCUAAUUGGAGGUUUACUUAGUACAACGCGAGAAACCAUGUUGGGAAACACAUUUACAAUUAUUACAUUUGCCAAGUGUCUAACCAUUUAACAUUCAUUACUCUAACUGACAAAUGGAGCUUCAUUUGAAUUGAUUGUUUGUUUUAAAACAACAAUGAAAAAACUAAACACACAUUCUCAUGUACAAUAAUUAUCAAGUAUCAUAUAUAUACUUGUAUAAUUGUAUUUUGUUCUGACCAUGUAUUUGCAAAUUUGAAUAAGCCAAUCAUUAUUUGGCAUUACUAGUGUGAAAGCAAUAAUAUAAAUAUGUUUGUCUUCCAAUGAUCAAUCAUUAUUGGAGCAAUUACUACUUUAAUUUCACUGGUUCUAUUAGACAUUUUUAUCUGAUCUAGCAUAGGUACAUAUUAAGGUGCAAUCCAAUUCAAUGUCUAUUUAAUUGUCCAUCCUAAAUUAAUUAAUCUUUAAACAAUAUAAGUUAACUCAAUUGCACGGUGAAAGAAAUAUUACUACUGUAUCAUUUUACAAGUUGAAAUAUAUUUUGGACAAACAGAUAAAUGUCUUUCCAAUCAUCUUUUGCAAAACAUCUUUUUUGGUGGCAAAUUGUAAUUCCUUAAAUGAUUGAGGAGGAACUAUUUCAUGAUGAUUAGUUCUGCACAAAAUCUAUCUCAGUGUUCAUUUAUUUAACUUUAAGCAUCAUUGUUAUAUCAUAUCAAAACAAUUACAUAAUCUGGACAUAAUUAUUUUCAAAGUAUAUUUUUAUGGAAUAUUCAGAUUUGUCUCAACAUCA
RNAcentral lists this long non-coding RNA (1358 nucleotides) under Mytilus galloprovincialis (Mediterranean mussel). Lineage: Eukaryota; Metazoa; Mollusca; Bivalvia; Mytilida; Mytilidae. The record is from RNAcentral.